AAUGAACGCUGGCGGCGUGCCUAACACAUGCAAGUCGAACGAGAAAGGGGCCUUCGGGCCCUGAGUAAAGUGGCGAACGGGUGAGUAACGCGUAGGUAACCUGUCCUCGAGUGGGGAAUAACCUGGCGAAAGCCGGGCUAAUACCGCAUGACAUCCUCAGCUCUCCGGAGCGGAGGAUCAAAGGUGGCGAACUUCGAGUGCUGACGCUCGGAGGGGGCGGC
This 221-nucleotide ribosomal RNA is filed under the name uncultured bacterium. RNAcentral describes it as "partial 16S ribosomal RNA". It matches the Rfam family "Bacterial small subunit ribosomal RNA", at positions 29 to 234 of the family's 1533-position model. The record is from RNAcentral.